RNAcentral lists this unclassified non-coding RNA (372 nucleotides) under fungal sp. RNAcentral's name for it is "partial internal transcribed spacer region". The stretch from base 1 to 46 matches the Rfam family "Eukaryotic small subunit ribosomal RNA", at positions 1786 to 1831 of the family's 1831-position model. The record is from RNAcentral. Lineage: Eukaryota; Fungi.
AAGUCGUAACAAGGUUUCCGUAGGUGAACCUGCGGAAGGAUCAUUACAAUACGUUACUUCACGUAUCAACCCAAACUGUUGAACUGUAAAAAGGUGUCCGAUAGGAAAGACAUUUCAUGGGUUACGAGAGACUGGCGGCUUUGAAGUUGUGCACUUCGGUCGGUUUCUCUUUUUUGUUUCUGAGCAAUCGGAGCAAAAGCCCGGUUUUUCCUAGUUCGCGUAUUUAUUUUUUACAUUUUUUAACCCCUUUCACCCAACUAUUAUUUCAACAACCAAUUGAACUGAAUUCGAAGGAUGCUGAAAAGCGUCUAUUUCGAUCCUAUUCUUUACGAAACGUAAGAACAACUCUUAACAACGGAUAUCUUGGCUCUC